This 399-nucleotide ribosomal RNA is filed under the name Triticum aestivum (bread wheat). RNAcentral describes it as "partial small subunit ribosomal RNA". The record is from RNAcentral. Lineage: Eukaryota; Viridiplantae; Streptophyta; Magnoliopsida; Poales; Poaceae.
AUGACUUUAUUUGAUGAUAAUCCCACUAUGUUGGAAGAGUGUCAACUUUGCAUGCAUGACGAUCGUGUAGAUAAUAUGUUAUGUGAUAGAUAUAUUGUUGAAUUUAAAUAUGAUCCUACACGCAAAUAUUGUGAGAGAGGAAAAUAUGGUCAUAGAAAUCUUCAUGUUACUAAAUUACCUCUCUUGAUGCUUGAAUUGUUAAAGUUUUAUUCUUCUUCCUUGCAUAUGCUAGUUUUUGCUUGCCUUGAUAAUUUGUUUGCUUAUAAAAUGCCUAUGCAUAGGAAGUCUGUUAGACUUAGAUGUCUUUGUCAUGUGCUAUAUGAUGCUCUCUUUGUGCUUCAAUUCUCGUCUUUCGUUGAGCAUCAUCAAAAUUAUCAAUGCCUAGCUAAAAGGCUUUAA